This 272-nucleotide transfer RNA is filed under the name 'Psammotettix striatus' phytoplasma. RNAcentral describes it as "Psammotettix striatus phytoplasma partial 16S-23S ribosomal RNA intergenic spacer". Lineage: Bacteria; Bacillati; Mycoplasmatota; Mollicutes; Acholeplasmatales; Acholeplasmataceae. The record is from RNAcentral.
CCUCCUUUCUAAGGAAACAAUUAUCAUCUUCAGUUUUGAGAGACUUAAGAAAGUUUUUCAUUAUAACUAACUUACUUGCAAAUUGUAUUUACAAUAUUUUAAUCUUUUUAAUAUUAAGGGCCUAUAGAUCAGUUGGUUAUAGAGUACACACCUAAUAAUUGUGAGGUCGGUGGUUCAAGUUACACAUUUAGGCCCACCAUAACCACAAAUAGGCAAAAUAUUAAAAAAGCUCUUUGAAAAGUAGAUAAACGAAGGUUAAAAAAUCAAAGGAA